CAACAAAUAGUUUAUAUAGAAUAAGGGUUUUGGAGACUUUUGGAAUAAUUAAUUUUAUUUUGUUGA
Molecule: transfer RNA, 66 nt
Filed under: Fieberiella septentrionalis
Lineage: Eukaryota; Metazoa; Arthropoda; Insecta; Hemiptera; Cicadellidae
Description: tRNA-Pro
Source: RNAcentral